RNAcentral lists this ribosomal RNA (396 nucleotides) under Oxyrrhis marina. Its description in RNAcentral is "partial Bacterial small subunit ribosomal RNA". It matches the Rfam family "Bacterial small subunit ribosomal RNA", at positions 1112 to 1507 of the family's 1533-position model. Lineage: Eukaryota; Dinophyceae; Oxyrrhinales; Oxyrrhinaceae. The record is from RNAcentral.
UAGUUGCCAGCACAUAAUGGUGGGGACUCUAGGAAGACUGCCUGCGCAAGCAGAGAGGAAGGAGGGGACGACGUCAAGUCAUCAUGGCCCUUACGGCCUGGGCUACACACGUGCUACAAUGGUCGGUACAGAGGGUUGCCAAGCCGCGAGGUGGAGCUAAUCCCACAAAGCCGAUCGUAGUCCGGAUUGGAGUCUGCAACUCGACUCCAUGAAGUCGGAAUCGCUAGUAAUCGCAUAUCAGAAUGAUGCGGUGAAUACGUUCCCGGGCCUUGUACACACCGCCCGUCACACCAUGGGAGUGGGUUGCAAAAGAAGUGGGUAGCAUAACCUUCGGGAGUGCGCUCACCACUUUGUGAUUCAUGACUGGGGUGAAGUCGUAACAAGGUAGCCGUAGGG